GAUGAACGCUGGCGGCGUGCCUAAUACAUGCCAGUCGAGCGAACGGAUGAGAAGCUUGCUUCUCUGAUGUUAGCGGCGGACGGGUGAGUAACACGUGGAUAACCUACCUAUAAGACUGGGAUAACUUCGGGAAACCGUAGCUAAUACCGGAUAAUAUUUUGAACCGCAUGGUUCAAUAGUGAAAGACGGUCUUGCUGUCACUUAUAGAUGGAUCCGCGCUGCAUUAGAUAGUUGGUAAGGUAACGGCUUACCAAGGCAACGAUGCAUAGCCGACCUGAGAGGGUGAUCGGCCACACUGGAACUGAGACACGGUCCAGACUCCUACGGGAGGCAGCAGUAGGGAAUCUUCCGCAAUGGGCGAAAGCCUGACGGAGCAACGCCGCGUGAGUGAUGAAGGUCUUCGGAUCGUAAAACUCUGUUAUUAGGGAAGAACAUAUGUGUAAGUAACUGUGCACAUCUUGACGGUACCUAAUCAGAAAGCCACGGCUAACUACGUG
This 497-nucleotide ribosomal RNA is filed under the name uncultured bacterium. RNAcentral's name for it is "partial 16S ribosomal RNA". It matches the Rfam family "Bacterial small subunit ribosomal RNA", at positions 28 to 507 of the family's 1533-position model. The record is from RNAcentral.